Molecule: long non-coding RNA, 364 nt
Organism: Sardina pilchardus (European sardine)
Lineage: Eukaryota; Metazoa; Chordata; Actinopteri; Clupeiformes; Clupeidae
Exons: 3
Source: RefSeq, a predicted model, not a curated record
UGGAUCUGUCCCCCGGGUGCCCAUGUGAUCAGGAGACCCUGGUGCUCCUCACCCUGCAGCUGCGUUGGUUCCUGCAGCAGUGGCGGCAGGGGGAAGAAGCCAAGAGUCUCUUUGAGGUGGGCUGCCAGAAGAAACUACGUCUCCUGAUGGAGGGGGAGGAGGUGUCCGACUCAGAAGAACCCAGCAAGACGAGCCCCACAGCCUCAAAGAUCUUCCCCAAACUGGUGGACAGUGCCGAGGACAUGGUUCUGGCGGACCUCAGGGCGGCCAUGUUGGACCUGAGCUCUGAGCUGCAGGAGGAGCGGCGGUCGGGGCUGGAGAUGGCCCAGCAGUUCGCCUGUGCCAAGGCAGCCUGGGCUGUGGA